Molecule: non-coding RNA, 184 nt
Organism: Brugia malayi
Lineage: Eukaryota; Metazoa; Nematoda; Chromadorea; Rhabditida; Onchocercidae
Source: RefSeq, a predicted model, not a curated record
GGGAGGGAGAGAAAGAAAGAAGUGGGAUAAGAGAGGUGGAAAAGAAGGAGAGAAGGGAAAUUAUCAUAUUUCUCUCAGAAGGAUCGAACAUAGUAGAAAUUUGGAUCUUUUGGUGACAAUGCAUCAAUUUCUUAUUCGUUCCUUCGUUUCUCACUUUCUUUCUUCCUUCCUUUUCCUUUUUUUC